Molecule: unclassified non-coding RNA, 300 nt
Filed under: uncultured Chytridiomycota
Lineage: Eukaryota; Fungi; Chytridiomycota
Description: sequence contains 5.8S rRNA gene, ITS2
Rfam family: 5.8S ribosomal RNA (bases 1-62)
Source: RNAcentral
GUGAAUCAUCGAAUCUUUGAACGCACAUUGCACUCCAUUGGAGUAUGCCUGUUUGAGAAUCUAUAGUAUUUAUUUUUGGGUACCAUUUUUUGGUUCCUAGAAGAGAUGAAGUUUCCCCUUUCAUACGAAGGGGUAUUUCGAAAUAUAUUGCUUGCAGUUCGGUAUGAAAUGUUUGACAUCUCUUAUCAAACCUUAUAGAAAAGUAUUUGAAUGGAACUGUGGUUUCUUAUAAUGCUGAAUAAAUAGGGAAGAGACUAGUUUGAUACUGGCUGAAAGUCCAUAACCUAAGAAUUGGUACUU